CCUCUGUCUCUUCAAAUAUCAACUGUAAGGCAGUCUGAACAGAGAAUCGCUUUGCCAUCUUGAUCAGUUGUGGUAUGGAACCACGCUGACAGAGCUUUUUUAUAGUGUCAGGUCCCCAAGCUUGAUAGUGUUGGGUGCUCCAAUUUUGCAACCUUGUGCGGGAACAGUGGGUGCACACUGUGGGUGCUCACACCAAGGGCCCAUUCACCUGCUUCACCUCUCUCUCUCACACACACACACACACACACACACACACACACACACACACACACACACACACACACACACACACACACACACACACACACACACACACACACACAGAGAGGAAGAAGGGAAAA
This is a long non-coding RNA of Gadus macrocephalus (Pacific cod), 341 nucleotides long. RefSeq lists it as uncharacterized. The record is from RefSeq and is a predicted model, not a curated record. The transcript is spliced from 2 exons. NCBI's taxonomy places the organism in Eukaryota, Metazoa, Chordata, Actinopteri, Gadiformes, Gadidae.